Molecule: ribosomal RNA, 490 nt
Filed under: uncultured bacterium
Lineage: Bacteria
Description: partial 16S ribosomal RNA
Rfam family: Bacterial small subunit ribosomal RNA
Source: RNAcentral
CUUUCCCUCUGGCGGCAGGCCUAACACAUGCAAGUCGAACGGUAACAGGAAGCAGCUUGCUGCUUUGCUGACGAGUGGCGGACGGGUGAGUAAUGUCUGGGAAACUGCCUGAUGGAGGGGGAUAACUACUGGAAACGGUAUCUAAUACCGCAUAACGUCGCAAGACCAAAGAGGGGGACCUUAGGGCCUCUUGCCAUCGGAUGUGCCCAGAUGGGAUUAGCUAGUAGGUGGGGUAACGGCUCACCUAGGCGACGAUCCCUAGCUGGUCUGAGAGGAUGACCAGCCACACUGGAACUGAGACACGGUCCAGACUCCUACGGGAGGCAGCAGUGGGGAAUAUUGCACAAUGGGCGCAAGCCUGAUGCAGCCAUGCCGCGUGUAUGAAGAAGGCCUUCGGGUUGUAAAGUACUUUCAGCGGGGAGGAAGGGAGUAAAGUUAAUACCUUGGCUCAUUGACGUUACCCGCAGAAGAAGCACCGGCUAACUCCGUG